UACGGGGGGGGCAAGCGUUGUUCGGAUUCACUGGGCGUAAAGGGUGCGUAGGCGGUGAGGUAAGUCGGAUGUGAAAUCUCCGAGCUCAACUCGGAAAUGGCAUUGGAAACUACCUCGCUAGAGAGUUGGAGGGGGGACUGGAAUACUUGGUGUAGCAGUGAAAUGCGUAGAUAUCAAGUGGAACACCAGUGGCGAAGGCGAGUCCCUGGACAACUUCUGACGCUGAGGCACGAAAGCUAGGGGAGCAAACAGG
This 253-nucleotide ribosomal RNA is filed under the name uncultured bacterium. RNAcentral's name for it is "partial 16S ribosomal RNA". It matches the Rfam family "Bacterial small subunit ribosomal RNA", at positions 524 to 776 of the family's 1533-position model. The record is from RNAcentral.